This 1382-nucleotide ribosomal RNA is filed under the name uncultured bacterium. RNAcentral's name for it is "16S ribosomal RNA". It matches the Rfam family "Bacterial small subunit ribosomal RNA". The record is from RNAcentral.
UUAGAGUUUGAUCAUGGCUCACGCUUAACGCUAGCGGCAGGCCUAAUACAUGCAAGUCGGACGGCUAUGUAGCAAUACAUGAUAGUGGCGGACGGGUGCGUAACACGUAUGGAACCUACCUGGGAGCGGGGGAUAACAGGGCGAAAGUUCAGCUAAUACCGCAUAAUGCAGCGGCUGCACAUGCAGACAGUUGUUAAAGACGCGAGUCACUUCCAGCGGGUCAUGCGUCCGAUUAGCUAGUUGGUGAGGUAACGGCUCACCAAGGCGACGAUCGGUAGCUGGUCUGAGAGGAUGAUCAGCCACACUGGCACUGAGACACGGGCCAGACUCCUACGGGAGGCAGCAGUAGGGAAUAUUGGGCAAUGGCGGAAACGCUGACCCAGCCAUGCCGCGUGCCGGAAGAAGGUCCAUUGGACUGUAAACGGCUUUUCUUUGGGGCUAACGUAUGGUUAGACCAUAUUUGAAAGUACUAAGGGAAUAAGCACCGGCUAACUACGUGCCAGCAGCCGCGGUAAUACGUAGGGUGCAAGCGUUGUCCGGAUUUACUGGGUUUAAAGGGUGCGUAGGCGGCGCGCUAAGUCUGAGAUGAAAUGGCAGGGCUCAACCCUGUCGCUGUCUUGGAUACUGGCGUGCUGGAGAAGGGAUGAGGUUGCUGGAAUGAGUGGUGUAGCGGUGAAAUGCGUAGAGAUCACUCAGAACACCGAUUGCGAAGGCAGGCAACUGGGCCCUAUCUGACGCUGAGGCACGAAAGCGUGGGGAUCAAACAGGAUUAGAUACCCUGGUAGUCCACGCCCUAAACGAUGGUUACUAGAUCUGACGCUGCGAGGUGUUGGGUCCAAGCGAAAGCGAUAAGUAACCCACCUGGGGAGUACGCUCGCAAGGGUGAAACUCAAAGGAAUUGACGGGGGCCCGCACAAGCGGUGGAGCAUGUGGUUUAAUUCGAUGGUACGCGAGGAACCUUACCUGGGCUAGAAUGUGCGUGAUGGAUUGAGAGAUCAAUUUUUCCCGCAAGGGACACAAAACAAGGUGCUGCAUGGCUGUCGUCAGCUCGUGCCGUGAGGUGUUGGGUUAAGUCCCGCAACGAGCGCAACCCCUGUGGAUAGUUGCCAGCGAGUCAAGUUGGGCACUCUAUUCAGACUGCCUUCGUAAGGAGUGAGGAAGGGGGGGACGACGUCAAGUCAUCAUGGCCCUUACGCCCAGGGCUACACACGUGCUACAAUGGACGGUACAGAGGGGAGCAAACCCGCGAGGGGGAGCCAAUCUCAAAAAGCCGUUCUCAGUUCGGAUUGGAGUCUGCAACCCGACUCCAUGAAGCUGGAAUCGCUAGUAAUCGCAGAUCAGCCAUGCUGCGGUGAAUACGUUCCCGGGCCUUGUACACACCG